Molecule: ribosomal RNA, 254 nt
Filed under: uncultured bacterium
Lineage: Bacteria
Description: partial 16S ribosomal RNA
Rfam family: Bacterial small subunit ribosomal RNA
Source: RNAcentral
CACGUAGGCACCAAGCGUUGUCCGGAUUUAUUGGGCGUAAAGAGCUCGUAGGCGGUUCAGUAAGUCGGGUGUGAAAACUCAGGGCUCAACUCUGAGAUGCCACUCGAUACUGCCGUGACUUGAGUACGGUAGGGGAGCGGGGAAUUCCUGGUGUAGCGGUGAAAUGCGCAGAUAUCAGGAGGAACACCAGUGGCGAAGGCGCCGCUCUGGGCCGUGACUGACGCUGAGGAGCGAAAGCGUGGGUAGCAAACAGG